RNAcentral lists this long non-coding RNA (1065 nucleotides) under Monodelphis domestica (gray short-tailed opossum). Its description in RNAcentral is "lncRNA (ENSMODG00000045719.1)". The record is from RNAcentral. Lineage: Eukaryota; Metazoa; Chordata; Mammalia; Didelphimorphia; Didelphidae.
AUCUGUAACACUUCUUCAAAGGAGGAGCGUCACGACUGCCUUAGAAACAAUGAGCAGAUGGCAACUACAGAGGCAGAGCAUAAAAGCAAUGGCAGUACCAACCUUUGACAGGAUUUCAUGUAAAUGGGAGAAGUAGCAGGAGAGCAGAAAGGAAGUCCCUGGACCAUGAAAAAGAACUUUGGAAGGGGCUUAACAGGAAGCAGUGAGGCACAGAGCUACCAUAUGGAAGAGCAGACCUAGACUUGGCUCUCCAUUAUUCCUGAGAUAUGUGGACCAGAGAGGUGCCAAAGGAACAUGGAACUUGAAAGAAUUUGCCAUCGAUCAAGCUCAGAAGUCAAAAAGAGAGCCCCAGUUUGAUCCCCCCAAGUUUAAAAGUCUCUCCCAGCCCACCUACUUUCAUACAUCAUGCCAGUGUGGUGACAUUCCACUGACUCUUCCCUGCUUUAAGGAUGCCCACUGGACACAGACUCUGCCACAUUGUCACCCAGCUCAACUGCUGAGUCUCAUGCUGUCUCCAGGGGUUGCCAAGGCUUAGAUUCUGUCCUCAUGAUCAAGUUCCCGUAAAUAACUUCCUUCUUUACUAAAUGUGUUUACAAGACAUGCAUGAGAUAUUUAUCCUUUACUCUAUACAUGGUGUAGGUGUUUUUCCUGCCUCUGAUUUGUGGUGAUUGAAUCAGGAAUAUUGGGAUGCAGGAUGAGAGGGCAUGACAAAACACUUACUGGUGAAAAUUUUGUAUGACUAUGUAAAUGCUUAAUUAGAACUUAAUUAAAACUUUUUUUCCCCAGACUGAGGCCAAGUAUUCAAUGAGAAGCAAACCAAACUAGGCCCAACAAGCACAGUUGGCCCAAUUCUGCAGAGGCUGUAUUAAGAAUGCAUAAGGGAUUGGAUUUCCAGAUGUGCACCCCCCUUCUUUUCCCAUUCUGAAGCUCAACAAUAUCAAUAAGCCUUGUUAAUUGAUCACACUGAGUGUUCCCUUCCCAUUCAAUUUGGCCUUGGUUAAAUGGAAAUUGGAAUUCCAAGCAGUACAUCUGAAUAAAAUGUUAGGGCUUUGUUUAGUUUUACCA